GGGGAUUUAGCUCAGUGAUAGAGCACUUGCCUAGCAAGCGCAAGGCCCUGGGUUCGGUUCCCAGCUCCG
Molecule: transfer RNA, 69 nt
Filed under: Rattus norvegicus (Norway rat)
Lineage: Eukaryota; Metazoa; Chordata; Mammalia; Rodentia; Muridae
Rfam family: tRNA
About the family: Transfer RNA (tRNA) molecules are approximately 80 nucleotides in length. Their secondary structure includes four short double-helical elements and three loops (D, anti-codon, and T loops). Further hydrogen bonds mediate the characteristic L-shaped molecular structure. tRNAs have two regions of fundamental functional importance: the anti-codon, which is responsible for specific mRNA codon recognition, and the 3' end, to which the tRNAs corresponding amino acid is attached (by aminoacyl-tRNA synthetases). tRNAs cope with the degeneracy of the genetic code in two manners: having more than one tRNA (with a specific anti-codon) for a particular amino acid; and 'wobble' base-pairing, i.e. permitting non-standard base-pairing at the 3rd anti-codon position.
Source: Rfam by way of RNAcentral